GAUGAACGCUGGCGGCGUGCCUAAUACAUGCAAGUAGAACGCUGAAGGAAGGAGCUUGCUCUUUCCGGAUGAGUUGCGAACGGGUGAGUAACGCGUAGGUAACCUGCCUGGUAGCGGGGGAUAACUAUUGGAAACGAUAGCUAAUACCGCAUAACAGUAGAUGUUGCAUGAUAUCUACUUAAAAGGUGCAAUUGCACCACUACCAGAUGGACCUGCGUUGUAUUAGCUAGUUGGUGAGGUAACGGCUCACCAAGGCGACGAUACAUAGCCGACCUGAGAGGGUGAUCGGCCACACUGGGACUGAGACACGGCCCAGACUCCUACGGGAGGCAGCAGUAGGGAAUCUUCGGCAAUGGACGGAAGUCUGACCGAGCAACGCCGCGUGAGUGAAGAAGGGUUUCGGAUCGUAAAGCUCUGUUGUAAGAGAAGAACGAGUGUGAGAGUGGAAAGUUCACACUGUGACGGUAUCUUACCAGAAAGGGACGGCUAACUACGCG
This 497-nucleotide ribosomal RNA is filed under the name uncultured bacterium. RNAcentral's name for it is "partial 16S ribosomal RNA". It matches the Rfam family "Bacterial small subunit ribosomal RNA", at positions 28 to 507 of the family's 1533-position model. The record is from RNAcentral.